Molecule: non-coding RNA, 208 nt
Organism: Oryza nivara
Lineage: Eukaryota; Viridiplantae; Streptophyta; Magnoliopsida; Poales; Poaceae
Source: Rfam
UAAAAGACAAACCCUAGGUUUCCGUGUCCAACUUUGACUAUCCGUCUUAUAUGAAAUUUUUUUAUAAUUAGUAUUUUCAUUGUUAUUAGAUGAUAAAACAUGAUUAAUACUUUAUGUGUGAGACUUGUCUUUUUAAUUUUUUUCAUAAUUUUUUUAAAUAAGACGGACGGUCAAACGUUGGACACGGAAACCCAGGGUUUGUCUUUUU